This 253-nucleotide ribosomal RNA is filed under the name uncultured bacterium. RNAcentral describes it as "partial 16S ribosomal RNA". It matches the Rfam family "Bacterial small subunit ribosomal RNA", at positions 524 to 776 of the family's 1533-position model. The record is from RNAcentral.
UACGUAGGGCGCAAGCGUUGUCCGGAAUUAUUGGGCGUAAAGAGCUCGUAGGCGGCUUGUCACGUCGGUUGUGAAAGCCCGGGGCUUAACCCCGGGUCUGCAGUCGAUACGGGCAGGCUAGAGUGUGGUAGGGGAGAUCGGAAUUCCUGGUGUAGCGGUGAAAUGCGCAGAUAUCAGGAGGAACACCGGUGGCGAAGGCGGAUCUCUGGGCCAAUACUGACGCUCAUGCACGAAAGCGUGGGGAGCAAACAGG